AAAGCCUCUAUUGCUGAGAGUAAAGAUUUGCUGGGUCGAAGGCAACAGCUGACUCAUGAAUCUUUAAGCCUUCAUGAUCCAUAGAAACUGCUGGCCAGUGUGGUACAGAAAUUCUGGCUGUAGUUGGUGUGCUUUUGUGGAGGUUCUGUAUGCUGAAGGAAACCUCAUCUGAAGCCCAUGCUCAGGACCAGUGUGAAAAGCUUGAAGAGUUUAAAGAAGCAGGAUAGAAAACUGUGUCUGAUAUUUACAUAUCGUGAUCUGGUGAUCUGGAGGUGACAUCUUAAUGGGCUGAGCUGAACUGGGAAGCAGGAGGAGACCUCAAUUAAAUAAAAUCUUGCAUUAAGGAAGCCCUUUGUGGGUA
Molecule: long non-coding RNA, 361 nt
Filed under: Phasianus colchicus (ring-necked pheasant)
Lineage: Eukaryota; Metazoa; Chordata; Aves; Galliformes; Phasianidae
Description: lncRNA (ENSPCLG00000019297.1)
Source: RNAcentral